RNAcentral lists this ribosomal RNA (502 nucleotides) under uncultured bacterium. RNAcentral describes it as "partial 16S ribosomal RNA". It matches the Rfam family "Bacterial small subunit ribosomal RNA", at positions 30 to 524 of the family's 1533-position model. The record is from RNAcentral.
AUUGAACGCUGGCGGCAGGCUUAACACAUGCAAGUCGAGCGGAGCGAGGGUGCUUGCACCUUAGCUUAGCGGCGGACGGGUGAGUAAUGCUUAGGAAUCUGCCUAUUAGUGGGGGACAACAUUACGAAAGGAAUGCUAAUACCGCAUACGCCCUACGGGGGAAAGCAGGGGAUCUUCGGACCUUGCGCUAAUAGAUGAGCCUAAGUCGGAUUAGCUAGUUGGUGGGGUAAAGGCCUACCAAGGCGACGAUCUGUAGCGGGUCUGAGAGGAUGAUCCGCCACAAUGGGACUGAGACACGGCCCAGACUCCUACGGGAGGCAGCAGUGGGGAAUAUUGGACAAUGGGCGGAAGCCUGAUCCAGCCAUGCCGCGUGUGUGAAGAAGGCCUUUUGGUUGUAAAGCACUUUAAGCGAGGAGGAGGCUACUUAGAUUAAUACUCUGGGAUAGUGGACGUUACUCGCAGAAUAAGCACCGGCUAACUCUGUGCCAGCCGCCGCCGUAAA